This 268-nucleotide ribosomal RNA is filed under the name uncultured Gammaproteobacteria bacterium. Its description in RNAcentral is "partial 16S ribosomal RNA". It matches the Rfam family "Bacterial small subunit ribosomal RNA", at positions 99 to 356 of the family's 1533-position model. Lineage: Bacteria; Pseudomonadati; Pseudomonadota; Gammaproteobacteria. The record is from RNAcentral.
CGGACGGGUGAUUAAUGCUUGGGAAUCUGCCCUGUAGUGGGGGACAACCCGGGGAAACCCGGGCUAAUACCGCAUACGCCCCUUGGUUUGGUUACCAAGGGGGAAAGCGGGGGACCUUCGGGCCUCGCGCUAUUGGAUGAGCCCAAGUCGGAUUAGCUUGUUGGUGGGGUAAUGGCCUACCAAGGCAACGAUCCGUAGCUGGUCUGAGAGGACNAUCAGCCACACUGGGACUGAGACACGGCCCANACUCCUACGGGAGGCAGCAGUG